AACGCGAAGAACCUUACCUGGGCUCGAAAUGUAGUGGACUGGGGUAGAAAUAUCCCUUCCUAGCAAUAGGUCGCUAUAUAGGUGCUGCAUGGCUGUCGUCAGCUCGUGUCGUGAGAUGUUGGGUUAAGUCCCGCAACGAGCGCAACCCUUAUCUCCAGUUGCCAUCAUUCAGUUGGGCACUCUGGCGAAACCGCCUCGGAUAACGGGGAGGAAGGUGGGGAUGACGUCAAGUCAGCAUGGCCUUUAUGUCCGGGGCUACACACGUGUUACAAUGCAUGGUACAAACUGUUGCGAUCCCGCGAGGGGGAGCUAAUCGGAGAAAGCCAUGCUCAGUUCGGAUUGCAGUCUGCAACUCGACUGCAUGAAGCCGGAAUCGCUAGUAAUGGCGUAUCAGAACGACGCCGUGAAUACGUUCCCGGGCCUUGUACACACCGAGACGAC
Molecule: ribosomal RNA, 441 nt
Filed under: uncultured bacterium
Lineage: Bacteria
Description: bacterial SSU rRNA
Rfam family: Bacterial small subunit ribosomal RNA
Source: RNAcentral